This is a long non-coding RNA of Lolium perenne, 968 nucleotides long. RefSeq lists it as uncharacterized. The record is from RefSeq and is a predicted model, not a curated record. NCBI's taxonomy places the organism in Eukaryota, Viridiplantae, Streptophyta, Magnoliopsida, Poales, Poaceae.
GACCACAUCUUACUGCCAACGUCAUUCCCCAAUCUCUUUGAGCUCGACGGAGAUAGCGAGGUGAUUUCGUCUGCGGCGGCGCUCCUUCCACGCUGGAGCGAGGCCAAGCGCCCGGCGAAGAAUUGAGCAAAUUCUCCCUCUGCAAAGCUCACGGGCACCGAGUUCUUCGGAGAUCUUGUGCCAAGUUUGAAACGUCUGGCGGAAAUAUGCAGCGGCGGGGAGGAGGUAGAGGCAGUCGUUGGGUGUUCAACCAUGGUGCCGGAGAUAGCCACAGCGCUGAAUCAAAAGGCUCGGGCACACAGGCUACCUGCAGAGGCGUCCCCGACAAGUUGCUUGAUGCAGAUAGAUCCGUCAAUGGAGGCGAAAUGGGGGAAACGGCUGUCAUCUCUUGAUGGAAAACGAAGGGUCAUCCAAGUCCUAUGGAUGAUAUUCAACCAGCUGUAAAAAGUGCCUUCACGAAGGCUUCCAAGCAAGGAACUAGUUAUCCGAUCAGCAGAUCAAAUAAAUAUCUCAGGCAGGAAACACAAACUUUAAAACGAGUGGCAACACUCCUGGAGCCAUUUGAUGAGAGUUUGCCUGACAAAAGUGGAGUAGCAUCAGCUAAAAGUGUUGAAGAAGAAGCUUUUGAUGCUGAAAAUGAUGCGAGCGGGAUUGCCAGGUGCAGAAAGAGUUUUACCAAGCAUGGCGGAUGAUGGUGGUGCAGCAAGAUGCCACUAACAUUGAAUUAGGGAUGAGCUACUGAUUAAUAUAUUGGUAUCCCAUUGAUUAAUUAGUGGGGGUAGAUAUUUUCUACAAUGUUCAUUAAUGAUGAACUUUGCCUCAUCCAAGAGUAUGUAAGAUUUUUUUUUGGAAAAUCAGAUGUAUCAUGCAAUUUUUUAAAUGGAAGCAUUGAUGAAACGUCAGCGUAUGCUGUCAUACUAUCUUACCACCGGAAAAUAUAUGAAAUUUAUUUGGGUUGUUAGCAUUUC